GACGAACGCUGGCGGCGUGCUUAACACAUGCAAGUCGAACGGAAAGGCCCUGCUUUUGUGGCGUGCUCGAGUGGCGAACGGGUGAGUAACACGUGAGUAACCUGCCCUUGACUUUGGGAUAACUUCCGGAAACUGGGGCUAAUACCGGAUAGGAGCUCCUGCUGCAUGGUGGGGGUUGGAAAGUUUCGGCGGUUUGGGAUGGAUUCGCGGCUUAUCAGCGUGUUGGUGGGGUAGUGGCGUACCAAGGCUUUGACGGGUAGCCGGCCUGAGAGGGUGACCGGCCACAUUGGGACUGAGAGACGGACCAGACUCCUACGUGAGGCAGCAGUCGGGAAUAUUGCACAAUGGGCGGAAGCCUGAUGCAGCAACGCCGCGUGCGUGAUGACGGCCUUCGGGUUGUAAACCGCUUUCGCCUGUGACGAAGCGUGAGUGACGGUAAUGGGUAAAGAAGCACCGGCUAACUACGUG
Molecule: ribosomal RNA, 468 nt
Filed under: uncultured bacterium
Lineage: Bacteria
Description: partial 16S ribosomal RNA
Rfam family: Bacterial small subunit ribosomal RNA
Source: RNAcentral